GCUCAUAUACUAAAACUGGAAUGAUACAGAGAAGACUAGCAUAGCCCCUGCACAAGGAUGACAUGCAAAUCUGUGAAGUGUUCCAUUAAAAA
This 92-nucleotide small nuclear RNA is filed under the name Saimiri boliviensis boliviensis (Bolivian squirrel monkey). The record is from RNAcentral. Lineage: Eukaryota; Metazoa; Chordata; Mammalia; Primates; Cebidae.